Apis florea (little honeybee) is the source of this 1222-nucleotide long non-coding RNA. Lineage: Eukaryota; Metazoa; Arthropoda; Insecta; Hymenoptera; Apidae. The record is from RefSeq and is a predicted model, not a curated record.
UUCGCAAUAUCAUUGAUCACAACAAAGACUAGUCGAUCAUUCUUCAACUUUCUAUCUCUCAACCUUCAACCAUGGAAUUUUUUAAAACGUUCUGUCUUCGAAGAUCAUUGGGAAUGAUGAUGGAAAAUGUUGAACUAUUAUCUGAUUGAGAAGCGUGCUGAUGGCAUAGAACACGCCUACAUUGAUGCCAUAACUGAACAAUAGUAACAAGUAACCGACGUUUGUGACCAGUUUCUUCAUUUCUAUGAAAAAACUUUUCGGAGUUUCGUUCUCUCUCUGAACUUGAGCUUGUGCUUGAUUCGGAGGAAGCGGUGGUUUAGACUUAAAAACUACAAGAAAAUAUUAUUUCAAUAUGGAGGACUGAAAAUUGUAAUGGUCCCAUCAUGAGCUAUCCCGACAAGAGUUCCGCUCUCGAAAGCUUGUGCUCGAGGAGCGGCAAACUUGGCAGUCACGUCAUAAACAGCAAGGUCAACGAUCAUUUAUAUCAAUUUUGCGAUAUCUAUCGUAUAUUUCUUUAUUAACUAUAUACAUAUAUAGCAAAUGGCAUUGUAAUAAAAAUUUCAUUAAAACCUCACCAGAUGUGAAGAACGAUUGAUGUACGCAUUCUAAGAAUAGAAUUCUUUUGAUCGAACAGAUAUGAUUUCUUUGAAAUGAAAUAUUCAAGAUUCUCGAACUAUACAUCUGCAUACUUGAGAUAAGAAGAAAAAAGAUUCCCGGACUAUCUGUAUACUCGAGACCAGAAAAAAUCUAUAUCAAAGUUGAUAAAAUAAUCUGAUCGGCGCUGCACCUUGAAUAGAUUAUCUUCCUACCAGAAGGGGUGAUCUGUUUGAAAUACAUAGGUUUAAUUCGCUGAAUGGGGUCCCAGAUCCCCCCUCGUACCGCCACGAAAUAAAACGUGGGUGCACGUUACGAUUCUGUUUCCCAUCUAAUCACUACUUAAUUCUCCAACGACCCUGUCUCUCGAAUUAGAGUUUUACUACACAGAUACGUUCGGCUCUAUCCAGUUGAAAAUUUGGCGUGCGCGAUUCUAUUGCUAUUGUUUCGAGUAAAGUGAUCGUAAUUAAUGUCUUUGAGACAAUAAUUGAGACAAUGAUCUGGUAUUAUAACGAGGACUCUUUUGGAGAAUAAAGGAAAUAGGAAAUUAAUAAUGAAAGGGUCUUUUGAAAAGAGAUGUUGCACGAGGUGUUCGAGAUAUAAUUUUCCUCAAAAAUGAAAGAAGAAA